AGCAUUCCUGCCUCCAACUGUGGAGGCUAAGCAUAGCCAUCAUGGCUUGACAACCCUCUUUGUGAAUUUGUCCAUUCCUCUUUUACAGACGUAUAAGUCGGUGGUCAUCACGGCCUCCUGUGCGAGCAAGUUCCAUAUAAGUACACACUGUGUGAAGAAGUCCUUUCUUUUAUCUGUCCCGAAUCAUCCAACAUUCAGCUUCAUGGGGCAUCCAUGAGUUCUCGUGAUUUGGGAAGGGCUGCAGCUCAGUGGUAGAACACCUGCUUUGCAUGCCAAGGCCCCAGGUUCAAUCCCUGAGCGUGUGCAGUUAAAACAGGGCUGGGGAACCUGUGUUAGCAGACUAGGACACCCAACAUCCCAUGCUGAGUGGGAGAUGGAGUUCAACAAUACCUGGCAGGCCACAGGUUCCCCCCCCCCUGAGUUAAAGGGGCCAAGUAGCAGCAGGUGAUGGGGAAAUAGCUCUGCCUGAGGCCCUACCUGAUGGAGUAGACAAUCUUGAGCUAGAUCAGAGUUGUGGCCCAUCCAAAUGCUGUUGGACUCCAAUUUCCAUCAUGGCCAAUUACUUACUUAGAGAUUAUGGGAGUUUUAGUCCUAUAGCACCGGGAAGGUCACAGGUUCCCCAGCCCUGGGCUAGAUGAACAAAUUAUAUGCCCAGUAUAAGGCAGUUUAGUAUGAUCUGUUUGGGUUCUUGCUUUCUACACCUGGACCCUAAAAUGACCAUCCUCAUGCUUUAUGGCCAUGCCGUUGCAGAGGGGCAAGAGGGCUGGUCAGGCUAGUCUUCUAUUUGGUAGCCCCUGUCCCAGCACAUUCCCCGGUCAGUCCACAUCUGACAUGCACCAGCUAUAGGCUUCCUCUUCAUGUCCCAGUAGGGAAGGAAAGUUGCUAGCCCCUGUCUGAAAGCUUGGCGAGGCCCCAUCAGUUAGUAUAGACCAGCUUUCCAUAUCCUGAUGACCUCCAGAAGUUGUUGGACUCCAGCUCCCAUCAGCCCCAGCCAGCAUGGCCAAAGGUCAUGGAUGAUGGGAGUUGGAGUCCAAGAACUACCGGAGAGCACCAGGUUGGGGAAAGCUACCAGAGGGUUACUGGAGACAGAAAGGCCCUGAUACUGUGAUGGAUAGGCAGGAGUACAUCUGGCUGGGCAACACUAGUUUUCCAAGCUUUUCUUCCUUAUAGACAAGGAUACGGGGAAGAAACAGAACAGCCCAUUAUUGUUAAUAUUUCUUUUUCCCUCCUCUCUCUCUCUCUCUCUCUCCAAGUAAUGAUGCUUGUCCAGAGUUUCAAUGUGGUGUUAAGAAGGUAGAGGACACAGUCUAUUUACACAUACUGAAGAAAGAAAUAGCUGGAAGGAGAAGAAAACAGAGAGGAGGCGGAGGACGGCGAGCCGAGUGGGCAAGUCUUCAAGGAAGGCACGCGGCAAUUGUGUAAUACACAAACCAACAGUGUGACAAGCCGGCACAUGAAAUCAAACCAGCUGUGGCGCAGAUAUAUGUGACCGCCGUGUUGUGUUCUGCCACGACCACUGCAGUAGCCAUGUUGUGACUGGUGCCCACGGCACUCCCCCAAAAUUUCAAAACUGGCACCAAAAGGUGGGUGACUCCUGUGGUACGCCAUACUCUCCCAUGCCUCUGGUUUGUCUGAUUGGAGGAUAAAGAAGGAUGUGUUUAGCUUUGUGUAGUAGGCUAGUUUCUAAACUCAUUCUUUGGAGAAGGAAUUCCUUGGUUCAUUUUUAAGGCUGAAAAACUUCCCCCAUUCCUGCAGAGGAUGGCCAACAGCUCUACUCCCUUAGAAACAGCCUUGGCUUCCUGACCAAUCUCCCUGCUCCCCUCACUGCUCACUCACUUGGAGAGGACAGAUGAACAAGGAGGAGAAGCAGAAGAAAAAAGACAGGGCCCAGUGGCUAUUGAGAUCAUCAGUGGUCCCCCUAUUCAGAACAAGGGGCAACCCCAAAACCAGCUAGGAAGACAGCUUGCCGUGUUUUGAAGCGCCUCUACAAGUGUUAAAUGGGGCUGUUGGCAAACCAGCAUCUUGUUCAGGGCUGUCCCGAGUCACCCAGCAACUUACUGUAACAACUUCAUGGUGAGUUCCUAUUUUUCUUGGGAAAGCACCAAAUAAGGGUACACUUGUGCUUUUCAGUCUUGGUUUAUUACACCUGUAGAUGCAUCUCUCAUAGCACAAUAUUUUUUUCUUCUCUCUGUUUCAACCUCAGCCUGUCUCAAGCAGUGGGAGGAGGGGUAAUCCGUCAAAACACAGAAGGAAAUAUUUCCAAUCUGCAAACAACUCCCCACUAACUCUUUCCUCCACCUAUCCGCACAUGUUUACACAAUAAGCACACAACUCGGGGGAUCAAAGCAUUGAUGUCUGCUUUAAGUUUUGACAUCACUAUGGUACAUUUGGUGCUUUUUGCCAUACUCUCUCUGUGUUUUAAUUAUUAACUAGCUUUUUUCUUUAUUCCUUUUGAAAUGAGAAAAAAGAAGGGGGAAAGGAAAAACCUGGUGCUUUGAGAUGGCUCCGACCAAAGGAAGGCAAGAGGAUGAAGCAAAGGUAGAAAAAUGUUGUUGUUUUUUAGUAGAACAGGGAUAGCCAAUGUGGCACCCUCCAGGUAUUGUAGACUACAACAACCAACAACAGGCAGCGUGGCCUAUGCUCAGGGAUAAUGGGAGUUGUAGUUAUGUAGGUCAUCACAUCAAUGGAUGGACCAUAGCUCAGGGGGAGAGCAUGCAGUGAGGGAGUGAUCUGCUUUGCAUGCAGAAGGUCCCAGGUUCAUGCCAAGGCAUUACACAUAGGGCUCUGUCCUGGCUUCCACUCAACGCAAGCAAACAGAGGCUCUUAGUUGGAAGUAAGAAAGAGAGCCUUGCUCAAACAAGUAAUGCAGGCUCAGCAGCAGCCAAAAUGUUCAGGAGUCACAAUUCAGGAGGAGGGGAAGAAGUUCAGAAGUGGACUGAAGGGACGAGGAUGUCCCAACAAGUUUCUCCACCCUUCACCCCAAGCUUUCAAUUACAAGGCAUGGUGCUCGCAUUUGUAAGACUCAUCUGGUGAGACUACUGGGGUUGCAAGUGUGUGCUCUGUCAAGACAGGUGGACCUGCCAUCUGUGGAGGUGGUGCCUGGUUCCACGUGACAAGAUAGCAUCCUCCUGCUCAAGCUGCUGUCCAGUCACAGCUGCCGCCUGUUCAGCCUUCUCCCUGCUCAAAAAAUACUGAAUUCAAUAAAAACUUUGUUUUUUUCUCUGUCUGUCUUAAGGAUAGGGAACCUGAGGCCCUCCAGAUGUUGGGCUCCAACUUCCACCAGGGCCUUUCUUAUGUUCUUAACAUAUUGAGAGUAAAAGCAGUUCAGCAGUGGAACCAAUUCACUUAGUGGGGUGGUCAGCUCUUCCCCACCCCACCAAGGUUGCACAGCUAUGUGUUGUGGAUGUCCUUGCUCUGGAUUUCCUCCAUCAACCAAGCAGUUGGAACAAAUGGCCUUCAAGGGCUGCCUCCAACUCUGAUUCUAUGAAUUAGCAACCAUGACGGCUUGGAGAAGUGAUCAUGAGUGGAAACGUCUGGAGUGUAAAAAUACAGCAUUGGGGAGGGGCAGUUUCCACC
Zootoca vivipara (common lizard) is the source of this 3576-nucleotide non-coding RNA. NCBI's taxonomy places the organism in Eukaryota, Metazoa, Chordata, Lepidosauria, Squamata, Lacertidae. The record is from RefSeq and is a predicted model, not a curated record.